Molecule: small nuclear RNA, 116 nt
Organism: Rhineura floridana
Lineage: Eukaryota; Metazoa; Chordata; Lepidosauria; Squamata; Rhineuridae
Product: U5 spliceosomal RNA
Exons: 1
Source: RefSeq, a predicted model, not a curated record
GUGCUUUGGUUUCUCUUCAUAUCGUAUAAAUUUUUUGCCUUUUACUAAAGAUUUCCGUGGAGAGGAAUAGUUACGAGUUUAUAAUCAAUGUUUUGAGGCCCUGCUUUGGUGGGGCU